Molecule: long non-coding RNA, 1134 nt
Organism: Vitis riparia (riverbank grape)
Lineage: Eukaryota; Viridiplantae; Streptophyta; Magnoliopsida; Vitales; Vitaceae
Exons: 3
Source: RefSeq, a predicted model, not a curated record
UUUGUUUUUUGGGUCCCUGUGUUUGCUGGAUCUGUUCUAGGGGUCCCUUUGCUUUUAUGCCAUUGGAUUUAAAUUUCACGAACCCUAAAUCCACGAUUUUUGAGCCAGACUGAAGAACACAACAACCUCUUCCCUAUUCCACUGCAAGCUCCACUUCUCCCCGUAUCUCGCUCCCUGUGUUUGCUGGAUCUAGGGGUCUCUUUGCUUUUAUGCCAUUGGAUUUAAAUUUCACGAACCCUAAAUCCACGAUUUUUGAGCCAGACUGAAGAACACAACAACCUCUUCCCUAUUCCACUGCAAGCUCCACUUCUCCCCGUAUCUCGCCGGCGCCGAUCAUCUCAGAGCAGUAGAAAUUGAAAUGGGUAUUACACAAGAUCUCCUCAAGGCUGUUGAUCAGUAUCUCUUGGAGUGUUUUGAGAAAGCACAACUUCAUGGACAGACAACAGGAUCUACACAGCUUCAUGGACAGACAACGAUCAAGGAUCAAGUGAAUCCGUUGAGAUCGAAGUUUUUUUCGGCUACCUUUCAAUAUUGGGUGUCCUCCUCUAGUGAAAUAUCAAGGCAUCAGUAUUUCCCAACUUGAGCAACAUAAAGGGAUUAUAUAUAUUUUUGUUAUUGUUAUUUCAAUCUAUGUUGUAACAAUUAUUGUUGGUAAAAAGCUUGGGCCCAUUCGACUCCUCUCUGCCACAAUUGCCCAAAUCUUACUCUUUUUCAUUUUGCCAAUUUUGCUGUAAGGAUGACCCAUAAACCAAGUGCCGGCCAUCCUAAUUCUGGAACUAACAUGAAGAAGAGUAAGAUUGGGGCAAUUGUGGCAGAGAGGAGUCGAAUGGGCCCAAGCUUUUUACCAACAAUAAUUGUUGCAACAUAGAUUGAAAUAACAAUAACAAAAUAAUAUAUAAUCCCUUUAUGUUCCUCAAGUAGGGAAAUGUUGAUGCCUUGAUAUUUCAAGCUGGAGAGAGGAGCUCAUAUAUGCAACUUUGGAAUUUUGCGGUGGGAACAUAUGUCCAUCAUGUAGGAUGCUCGAUGCCUUAAAUUUUCUCUAAAUUCAUUUAUCAUCUGCUGAAUGCUUACAUGUUGGUUGUACUUGUAUUUUGUAAGGAAUUAAUAAAUGUAUAUAAUAUUUUUAGUUUCGAA